CUACGGGGUGCUGCAGUGAGGAAUAUUGCACAAUGGGGGGAACCCUGAUGCAGCAACGCCGCGUGGAGGAUGACGCAUUUCGGUGUGUAAACUCCUUUUAUAUGUCAAGAAAAUGACGGUAGCAUAUGAAUAAGCACCGGCUAACUCCGUGCCAGCAGCCGCGGUAAUACGGAGGGUGCAAGCGUUACUCGGAAUCACUGGGCGUAAAGGACGCGUAGGCGGGUUGGAAAGUCAGGUGUGAAAUCCUACAGCUUAACUGUAGAACUGCACUUGAAACUUCUAAUCUAGAGUAUGGGAGGGGGAGAUGGAAUUAGUGGUGUAGGGGUAAAAUCCGCAGAUAUCACUAGGAAUACCUAAAGCGAAGGCGAUCUCCUGGAACAUAACUGACGCUAAGGCGUGAAAGCGUGGGGAGCAAACAGGAUUAGAUACCCCUGUAGUC
This 439-nucleotide ribosomal RNA is filed under the name uncultured bacterium. RNAcentral's name for it is "partial 16S ribosomal RNA". It matches the Rfam family "Bacterial small subunit ribosomal RNA", at positions 339 to 795 of the family's 1533-position model. The record is from RNAcentral.